RNAcentral lists this ribosomal RNA (429 nucleotides) under Bacillota bacterium. Its description in RNAcentral is "Firmicutes bacterium partial 16S ribosomal RNA". It matches the Rfam family "Bacterial small subunit ribosomal RNA", at positions 355 to 776 of the family's 1533-position model. Lineage: Bacteria; Bacillati; Bacillota. The record is from RNAcentral.
UGGGGAAUUUUGGACAAUGGGCGCAAGCCUGAUCCAGCCAUGCCGCGUGCAGGAUGAAGGCCUUCGGGUUGUAAACUGCUUUUGUACGGAACGAAAAGGUUCUUUCUAAUAAAGAGAGCUCAUGACGGUACCGUAAGAAUAAGCACCGGCUAACUACGUGCCAGCAGCCGCGGUAAUACGUAGGGUGCAAGCGUUAAUCGGAAUUACUGGGCGUAAAGCGUGCGCAGGCGGUGAUGUAAGACAGUUGUGAAAUCCCCGGGCUCAACCUGGGAACUGCAUCUGUGACUGCAUCGCUGGAGUACGGUAGAGGGGGAUGGAAUUCCGCGUGUAACAGUGAAAUGCGUAGAUAUGCGGAGGAACACCGAUGGCGAAGGCAAUCCCCUGGACCUGUACUGACGCUCAUGCACGAAAGCGUGGGGAGCAAACAGG